UUGGAGGGCAAGUCUGGUGCCAGCAGCCGCGGUAAUUCCAGCUCCAAUAGCGUAUAUUAAAGUUGUUGCAGUUAAAAAGCUCGUAGUUGAAUUUCGGGGUUCUACCGUUGGUCGGGCUUUGUCUGUACUGGUGUGUAGAAUUUCUACCUUCUGGGGAACCAUCAUGCUAUUAAUUUAGCGUGGUGGGAAACCAGGACCUUUACCUUGAAAAAAUUAGUGUGUUCAAAGCAGGCUUAUGUCUGAAUACAUUAGCGUGGAAUAAUAGAAUAGGACGGUGGUCCUGUUUUGUUGGUUUCUGAAUCACCGUAAUGAUUAAUAGGGAUAGUUGGGGGCAUUAGUAUUCAAUUGUCAGAGGUGAAAUUCUUGGAUUCAUUGAAGACUAACUUCUGCGAAAGCAUUUGCCAAGGAUGUUUUCAUUAAUCAAGAACGAAAGUUAGGGGAUCGAAGACGAUCAGAUACCGUCGUAGUCUUAACCAUAAACUACGCCGACUAGGGAUCGGACGAUGUUAAUUUUUCUUGACUCGUUCGGCGCCUUACGGGAAAC
This 544-nucleotide ribosomal RNA is filed under the name uncultured Glomeromycotina. RNAcentral's name for it is "SSU rRNA". It matches the Rfam family "Eukaryotic small subunit ribosomal RNA", at positions 548 to 1098 of the family's 1831-position model. The record is from RNAcentral. Lineage: Eukaryota; Fungi; Glomeromycota.